This is a long non-coding RNA of Dermochelys coriacea (leatherback sea turtle), 248 nucleotides long. RefSeq lists it as uncharacterized. The record is from RefSeq and is a predicted model, not a curated record. The transcript is spliced from 3 exons. NCBI's taxonomy places the organism in Eukaryota, Metazoa, Chordata, Testudines, Dermochelyidae.
UUGCAAGGAUAGGUUCCUGGGUUAGUGGUUCUGUGAUGGUGUGUGUAUUUGCUGGUGAGUACUUGCUUCAGGUUGAGGGAGCUACCUGUAAGCGGGGACUGGCCUGCCCCCCAAGGUCUGUGAGCAUGAGGGAUCAUUUUCCAGGAUAGGUUGUAGGUCAUUGAUGAUGUGCUGGAGCGGUUUUAGCUGGGGUCUGUACGUGAUGGCCAGUGGUGGUGUGUUUAUUUUCCUUGUUGGGCCUGUCCUGU